This is a long non-coding RNA of Suricata suricatta (meerkat), 1073 nucleotides long. RefSeq lists it as uncharacterized. Lineage: Eukaryota; Metazoa; Chordata; Mammalia; Carnivora; Herpestidae. The record is from RefSeq and is a predicted model, not a curated record. The transcript is spliced from 3 exons.
AUUCCUAGAGCUUCACCACAAAACCAGGCUGCCAAGGAAGCAGUCGCCUUACCUGUUGAAUACAGAUGCUGCCCCCGAUAGCCAAUAGAGCCAGGACGUAGAGUAAUGGAAUGAUAUUUUCAACGGUGACACUUCGCCAAACUACAUAUGCAUUUGGAUGUGACAGGUCAUAAAAGGACACUGAAUUACAUCAACUGGAGUCAUGCAAGAGGACUGUCCUCAUUCUGAAUCUGUAAACAGGCUUUUGUCAUUGGAGUUCGAGAGCUGUAGAAUGCAAACUUCCUAAGAUAAGUCAGCCUCCGCACUGAGCUUUGUUGGCAUGACUCAAUGCCAUUUCCAAAAACAAAGGUGGAAGCAUUUUAUCUCUGUAUCCUUGAUCCCUAACCUUUUGGUAGAGAAUGCCCUCCAGCUUGUCAAUGUGUUCAUAUAGCACUGAUAGGUCCCCCAUUCUCUAGCCAUAAUAGCUCACUGAAUUAUAUUCUUUUUUUUUCUUUUAUGUACUUGAUCAUGGGGGGAGCCAAUUAUGGUACUGAAACAUUUCAAUUUCUGCAAACUACUCUUUCUAAUACUCUUAUCUACCAAGUUUGUAAAAACAUUGUAACUUUCAAAGGUAAAGCUUUUAAUUGACUAUGAUAAAAAUGAUGCUUGCCUUUUGGCCCCACAGAAUGCUAUAAACCCUUCUAUUCUGAAUUCUAGGUCAAUCUCCUUUUAAGUUUUUGCUGUAGCAAGAAGAAAAAAAAAGAGAUAACAUCAAGCAUAAGCAAAGCUCUGGAGUAACCCAUAUUCUUAUAUAUUACUAGUUGGAAUGGUGGUUACUCUGAAAACAAUUUGGCAUUAGGUAGUAAAAUUGUGCAUACCUCACUACCCAAGAGCUCAUUUUUAGGAUCAUGUCCUAAAGAAAGUCUCAAACAUAUGAAUUAAGAAAUAGGUACAAGGAUGGUCACAGGAACAUGGUCGACGCUAGUAGAGGAUUAGGGACUACACAGAGGUCUAUCAAUAAUGAAAUGGUUCAGAUAAUUACGGUGAAUGUAUACCAUGGAAUGCUCACCAGCAAUAAAAAUGAAUGAUCUGUA